Molecule: long non-coding RNA, 1195 nt
Filed under: Numida meleagris (helmeted guineafowl)
Lineage: Eukaryota; Metazoa; Chordata; Aves; Galliformes; Numididae
Description: lncRNA (ENSNMEG00000002836.1)
Source: RNAcentral
AUGCACACACAACACAACACAACGCACACACGCAACACCCGCUCCUCCUCCUCCUCCUCCCCUGGGUGGCACUGCCGGGCUGGGAGUUCGCCUGUUGGUGGUGGUGGUGGUGUUGUUGCGGUUGUUGUUGGUUGGAGCGACAAUAGAACAGUGUUAACGCGGCUCAACAGUCGGCAGCAACAACCGACCAACCUCCAACCACCAAACCAGCCAAACCGAGCGAGUGACCACCGGCAUGACAACAGGCGCACACACACACAACACACACACAACACACACACAACACACACACAACACCCGCUCCUCCUCCUCCUCCCCUGGGUGGCACCGCCGGGCUGGGAGUUCGCCUGUUGGCAGUGGUGGUGGUGGUGGUGUUGCUUUUGUUGCUGUGGUUGCUGUGGUUGUUGUUGGUUGGACUCCAACCACCAAACCGGACUCCACUCCAAACCGGAGUGCCAACCAAUGGCAAGACAACAGGCACACACACACACACAACACAACACAACACACACACACAACACCCGCUCCUCCUCCUCCUCCUCCCCCGGGUGGCACCGCUGGGCUGGGAGUUCGCCUGUUGGCGGCGGCGGUGGUGGUGGUGGUGGUGGUGUUGUGGUUGUUGUUGGUUGGAGUGACAAUAAACCAGCGUUAACACGGCCCCACUUGCAACAGGCGGCGGCAACAACCGACUGACCUCCAACCACCACCAACCACUGAACUGAACUGGAGUGCCAACCAACGGCACAACAGGCACACACACACACAACACACAACACACACACAACACACACUCCUCCUCCUCCUCCUUCCCUGGGUGGCACUGCCGGGCUGGGAGUUCACCUGUUGGCGGUGGUGGUGGUGGUGGUGGUGUUGUUUGGUUGUUGCUGGUUGGAGUAAUAAUCAAGCAGCGUUAACGCGGCCCCACUCGCAACAGGCGGCGGCAACAACUGAAAGACUGAUCUCCAACCACCGCCAACCACCGAACCAAACUGGAGUGCCAACCACCAGCAUGACAACAGGCACACACACACACACAACACAACACAACACACACACGCAACACCCGCUCCUCCUCCUCCUCCUCCCCCGGGUGGCACCGCCGGGCUGGGAGUUCGCCUGUUGGCGGCGGCGGUGGUGGUGGUGGUGGUGGUGUUGUGGUUGUUGUUGGUUGGAGUGACAAUAAACCAGCGUUAAC